RNAcentral lists this long non-coding RNA (273 nucleotides) under Elaeis guineensis (African oil palm). Its description in RNAcentral is "long non-coding RNA (EGUI_LNC079539)". The record is from RNAcentral. Lineage: Eukaryota; Viridiplantae; Streptophyta; Magnoliopsida; Arecales; Arecaceae.
CUCUUAUUUGGCUCUUUUCUAUGUUUAGCAAGUCAACACAUAUUCAUAUUUGGCUGGUACUCCUAUUUGGUCUUUCUCCUUGUUUAGCUAUUCUACAUUUGGUUUCUCUUUACUUAGUAUGUAAUCGAGAUAUUCCUUCUUCUUGUAAUUGCUACAAUAGCUAGACCUUGUAAUCUAUAUAUACUCCUAUUAGAGAACAAUGAAAAGUAAGAAUCAGAAAUUAUCCUCAAUAAAGAUAUUACCUUCUUUACUGCUAUAACAAGUAUUGAAGCC